This 576-nucleotide ribosomal RNA is filed under the name uncultured marine thaumarchaeote. Its description in RNAcentral is "bacterial SSU rRNA". It matches the Rfam family "Archaeal small subunit ribosomal RNA", at positions 302 to 879 of the family's 1478-position model. The record is from RNAcentral. Lineage: Archaea; Thermoproteati; Nitrososphaerota.
ACUGAGACACGGACCCAGGCCCUAUGGGGCGCAGCAGGCGAGAAAACUUUGCAAUGUGCGAAAGCACGACAAGGUUAAUCCGAGUGGUUUGUGCUAAACGAACCUUUUGUUAGUCCUAGAAACACUAACGAAUAAGGGGUGGGCAAGUUCUGGUGUCAGCCGCCGCGGUAAAACCAGCACCUCAAGUGGUCAGGAUGAUUAUUGGGCCUAAAGCAUCCGUAGCCGGCUCUGUAAGUUUUCGGUUAAAUCUGUACGCUUAACGUACAGGCUGCCGGGAAUACUGCAGAGCUAGGGAGUGGGAGAGGUAGACGGUACUCGGGAGGAAGGGGUAAAAUCCUUUGAUCUCUCGAUGACCACCUGUGGCGAAGGCGGUCUACCAGAACACGUCCGACGGUGAGGGAUGAAAGCUGGGGGAGCAAACCGGAUUAGAUACCCGGGUAGUCCCAGCUGUAAACUAUGCGAACUCAGUGAUGCAUUGACUUGUGGUCAAUGCAGUGCUGCAGGGAAGCCGUUAAGUUUGCCGCCUGGGAAGUACGUACGCAAGUAUGAAACUUAAAGGACCGGGCGGGGGAGCAG